GACGAACGCUGGCGGCGUGCUUAACACAUGCAAGUCGAACGGAAAGGCCCUGCUUUUGUGGGGUGCUCGAGUGGCGAACGGGUGAGUAACACGUGAGUAACCUGCCCUUGACUUUGGGAUAACUUCAGGAAACUUGGGCUAAUACCGGAUAGGACCUCCUGCUUCAUGGUGGGGGUUGGAAAGUUUCGGCGGUUGGGGUUGGACUCGAGUCUUCUCAGCUUGUUGUUGGGGUAGUGGCUUACCAAGGCCUUGACGGGUAGCCGGCCUGAGAGGGUGACCGGCCACAUUGGGACUGAGAUACGGCCCAGACUCCUACGGGAGGCAGCAGUGGGGAAUAUUGCACAAUGGGCGGAAGCCUGAUGCAGCAACGCCGCGUGCGGGAUGACGGCCUUCGGGUAGUAAACCGCUUUCGCCUGUGACGAAGCGUGAGUGACGGUAAUGGGUAAAGAAGCACCGGCUAACUACGUA
This 468-nucleotide ribosomal RNA is filed under the name uncultured bacterium. RNAcentral describes it as "partial 16S ribosomal RNA". It matches the Rfam family "Bacterial small subunit ribosomal RNA", at positions 28 to 507 of the family's 1533-position model. The record is from RNAcentral.